UGAACGCUAGCGACAGGCCUAACACAUGCAAGUCGAGGGGCAGCACAAGGAGCAAUCUGAGGUGGCGACCGGCGCACGGUGAGUAACACGUAUGCAACCUGCCUGUAAGCGGGGAAUAACCCGUUGAAAGACGGACUAAUACCGCAUAAUACUAAAUUACUGCAUGGUAAUUUAUUUAAACAUUUAUGGCUUACAGAUGGGCAUGCGCAUGAUUAGCUAGUUGGAGAGGUAACGGCUCCCCAAGGCAACGAUCAUUAGGGGUUCUGAGAGGAAGGUCCCCCACACUGGUACUGAGACACGGACCAGACUCCUACGGGAGGCAGCAGUGAGGAAUAUUGGUCAAUGGACGAGAGUCUGAACCAGCCAAGUCGCGUGCAGGAAGAAUGUCCUUAAUGGAUUGUAAACUGCUUUUGCAGGGGAAUAAAGUGCAUCACGUGUGAUGUUUUGUAUGUACUCUGCGAAUAAGGAUCGGCUAACUCCGUGCCAGCCGCAGC
Molecule: ribosomal RNA, 494 nt
Filed under: uncultured bacterium
Lineage: Bacteria
Description: bacterial SSU rRNA
Rfam family: Bacterial small subunit ribosomal RNA
Source: RNAcentral